This 429-nucleotide ribosomal RNA is filed under the name Bacillota bacterium. RNAcentral describes it as "Firmicutes bacterium partial 16S ribosomal RNA". It matches the Rfam family "Bacterial small subunit ribosomal RNA", at positions 355 to 776 of the family's 1533-position model. Lineage: Bacteria; Bacillati; Bacillota. The record is from RNAcentral.
UAGGGAAUCUUCGGCAAUGGACGGAAGUCUGACCGAGCAACGCCGCGUGAGUGAAGAAGGUUUUCGGAUCGUAAAGCUCUGUUGUUAGAGAAGAACGCUGGUAGGAGUGGAAAAUCUACCAAGUGACGGUAACUAACCAGAAAGGGACGGCUAACUACGUGCCAGCAGCCGCGGUAAUACGUAGGUCCCGAGCGUUGUCCGGAUUUAUUGGGCGUAAAGCGAGCGCAGGCGGUUCUUUAAGUCUGAAGUUAAAGGCAGUGGCUUAACCAUUGUACGAUUUGGAAACUGGAGGACUUGAGUGCAGAAGGGGAAAGUGGAAUUCCAUGUGUAGCGGUGAAAUGCGUAGAUAUAUGGAGGAACACCGGUGGCGAAAGCGGCUCUCUGGUCUGUAACUGACGCUGAGGCUCGAAAGCGUGGGGAGCAAACAGG